RNAcentral lists this ribosomal RNA (1382 nucleotides) under Promicromonospora sukumoe. Its description in RNAcentral is "16S ribosomal RNA". It matches the Rfam family "Bacterial small subunit ribosomal RNA". The record is from RNAcentral. Lineage: Bacteria; Bacillati; Actinomycetota; Actinomycetes; Micrococcales; Promicromonosporaceae.
AACGCUGGUGGCGUGCUUAACACAUGCAAGUCGAACGGUGAAGCCCAGCUUGCUGGGUGGAUCAGUGGCGAACGGGUGAGUAACACGUGAGCAACCUGCCCUCCACUUCGGGAUAAGCCUUGGAAACGAGGUCUAAUACCGGAUAUGAGCGCCUGCCGCAUGGUGGGUGUUGGAAAGUUUUUCGGUGGGGGAUGGGCUCGCGGCCUAUCAGCUUGUUGGUGGGGUAAUGGCCUACCAAGGCGUCGACGGGUAGCCGGCCUGAGAGGGCGACCGGCCACACUGGGACUGAGACACGGCCCAGACUCUACGGGAGGCAGCAGUGGGGAAUAUUGCACAAUGGGCGAAAGCCUGAUGCAGCGACGCCACGUGAGGGAUGACGGCCUUCGGGUUGUAAACCUCUUUCAGCAGGGAAGAAGCGCAAGUGACGGUACCUGCAGAAGAAGCGCCGGCUAACUACGUGCCAGCAGCCGCGGUAAUACGUAGGGCGCAAGCGUUGUCCGGAAUUAUUGGGCGUAAAGAGCUCGUAGGCGGUCUGUCGCGUCUGGUGUGAAAUCCCAUGGCUCAACCAUGGGCUUGCAUCGGGUACGGGCAGACUAGAGUGCUGUAGGGGAGACUGGAAUUCCUGGUGUAGCGGUGGAAUGCGCAGAUAUCAGGAGGAACACCGAUGGCGAAGGCAGGUCUCUGGGCAGUUACUGACGCUGAGGAGCGAAAGCAUGGGGAGCGAACAGGAUUAGAUACCCUGGUAGUCCAUGCCGUAAACGUUGGGCACUAGGUGUGGGGCCAGUUCCACUGGUUCUGUGCCGCAGCUAACGCAUUAAGUGCCCCGCCUGGGGAGUACGGCCGCAAGGCUAAAACUCAAAGGAAUUGACGGGGGCCCGCACAAGCGGCGGAGCAUGCGGAUUAAUUCGAUGCAACGCGAAGAACCUUACCAAGGCUUGACAUGUACGAGAAAGCCCCAGAGAUGGGGUUCUCUUUGGACACUCGUACACAGGUGGUGCAUGGUUGUCGUCAGCUCGUGUCGUGAGAUGUUGGGUUAAGUCCCGCAACGAGCGCAACCCUUAUCCUAUGUUGCCAGCGGGUUAUGCCGGGGACUCAUGGGAGACUGCCGGGGUCAACUCGGAGGAAGGUGGGGAUGACGUCAAAUCAUCAUGCCCCUUAUGUCUUGGGCUUCACGCAUGCUACAAUGGCCGGUACAGAGGGCUGCGAUACCGUGAGGUGGAGCGAAUCCCAAAAAGCCGGUCUCAGUUCGGAUCGGGGUCUGCAACUCGACCCCGUGAAGUCGGAGUCGCUAGUAAUCGCAGAUCAGCAACGCUGCGGUGAAUACGUUCCCGGGCCUUGUACACACCGCCCGUCAAGUCACGAAAGUCGGUAACACCCGAAGC